GCUCGGAUGGCGGAAUAGGCAGACGCAGUGGACUCAAAAUCCACCGAUCGCAAGGUCGUGUGAGUUCGACUCUCACUCCGAGCA
Molecule: transfer RNA, 84 nt
Filed under: Desulfomonile tiedjei DSM 6799
Lineage: Bacteria; Pseudomonadati; Thermodesulfobacteriota; Desulfomonilia; Desulfomonilales; Desulfomonilaceae
Rfam family: tRNA
About the family: Transfer RNA (tRNA) molecules are approximately 80 nucleotides in length. Their secondary structure includes four short double-helical elements and three loops (D, anti-codon, and T loops).
Source: Rfam by way of RNAcentral